This 939-nucleotide ribosomal RNA is filed under the name uncultured delta proteobacterium. RNAcentral's name for it is "bacterial SSU rRNA". It matches the Rfam family "Bacterial small subunit ribosomal RNA", at positions 14 to 938 of the family's 1533-position model. Lineage: Bacteria; Deltaproteobacteria. The record is from RNAcentral.
UGAUCCUGGCUCAGAAUGAACGCUGGCGGCGUGCCUAACACAUGCAAGUCGUACGAGAAAGGGGCUUCGGCCCUAGUAGAGUGGCGCACGGGUGAGUAACGCGUGGGUAAUCUACCCUUGGAUUUGGGAUAACUCUGCGAAAGUGGAGCUAAUACCGGAUAGUCUGGCUUUAAAUAAGAAGUCGGUAAAGGAUGCCUCUGCAUAUGCAUUCGUCCGAGGAUGAGCCCGCGUCUCAUUAGCUAGUUGGUAGGGUAAUGGCCUACCAAGGCAACGAUGAGUAGCUGGUCUGAGAGGAUGAUCAGCCACACUGGAACUGAAACACGGUCCAGACUCCUACGGGAGGCAGCAGUGGGGAAUAUUGCGCAAUGGGCGAAAGCCUGACGCAGCAACGCCGUGUGAGGGAUGAAGGCUUUCGGGUCGUAAACCUCUGUCGGAAGGGAAGAACGGGCAUUGGUCUAAUAGGCCUUUGUUUUGACGGUACCUUUAGAGGAAGCACCGGCUAACUCCGUGCCAGCAGCCGCGGUAAUACGGAGGGUGCAAGCGUUAUUCGGAAUUACUGGGCGUAAAGCGCACGUAGGCCGCUUUGUAAGUCAGGGGUGAAAUCCCACGGCUCAACCGUGGAACUGCCUUUGAAACUGCAGAGCUUGAAUCCUGGAGAGGGUGGCGGAAUUCCUGGUGUAGGAGUGAAAUCCGUAGAUAUCAGGAGGAACACCGGUGGCGAAAGCGGCCACCUGGACAGGUAUUGACGCUGAGGUGCGAAAGUGUGGGGAGCAAACAGGAUUAGAUACCCUGGUAGUCCACACCGUAAACGAUGGAUACUAGGUGUCGGGGACUUGAUCUUCGGUGCCGUAGCUAACGCGUUAAGUAUCCCGCCUGGGGAGUACGGUCGCAAGGCUGAAACUCAAAGAAAUUGACGGGGGCCUGCACAAGCGGUGGAGG